RNAcentral lists this ribosomal RNA (429 nucleotides) under Heterotermes sp. ALS-D. Its description in RNAcentral is "partial 16S ribosomal RNA". Lineage: Eukaryota; Metazoa; Arthropoda; Insecta; Blattodea; Rhinotermitidae. The record is from RNAcentral.
UUACGCUGUUAUCCCUAAGGUAAUUUAAUCUUAUAAUCAAAAUCAAUGGAUCAAGCAACUAUAAAUUAAUAUAACCAAAAUAAAGAGGGGUUAAACUAUAUCCCUCUCAUCGCCCCAACAAAACAUAUAAGCCCACUCAAUUAAACAAAACAAACAAUAAGAAAAAUAGACCAAAUGUUAAACUCUAUAGGGUCUUCUCGUCCCAUAAAAACAUCUAAGAAUUUUAACUCAAAAACCAAAUUCAAUAAAAUAUUCACAACUUAAGACAGCUCGUGUCUCGUCAAGCCAUUCAUUCCAGAUCACAAUUAAAGAACUAAUGAUUAUGCUACCUUUGCACGGUCAAAAUACCGCGGCCCUUCAACACUUCAAGUCAGCGGGCAGGCCAUACUUCAAAAACUAACAAGAAAAGAUGUUUUUGAUAAACAGGCG